RNAcentral lists this ribosomal RNA (425 nucleotides) under Klebsiella pneumoniae. RNAcentral describes it as "bacterial LSU rRNA". It matches the Rfam family "Bacterial large subunit ribosomal RNA", at positions 1060 to 1491 of the family's 2925-position model. Lineage: Bacteria; Pseudomonadati; Pseudomonadota; Gammaproteobacteria; Enterobacterales; Enterobacteriaceae. The record is from RNAcentral.
UAAGUGGGAAACGAUGUGGGAAGGCACAGACAGCCAGGAUGUUGGCUUAGAAGCAGCCAUCAUUUAAAGAAAGCGUAAUAGCUCACUGGUCGAGUCGGCUGCGCGGAAGAUGUAACGGGGCUAAACCAUGCACCGAAGCUGCGGCAGCGACACUAUGUGUUGUUGGGUAGGGGAGCGUUCUGUAAGCCUACGAAGGUGACCUGUGAGGGUUGCUGGAGGUAUCAGAAGUGCGAAUGCUGACAUAAGUAACGAUAAAGCGGGUGAAAAGCCCGCUCGCCGGAAGACCAAGGGUUCCUGUCCAACGUUAAUCGGGGCAGGGUGAGUCGACCCCUAGGCGAGGCCGAAAGGCGUAGUCGAUGGGAAACAGGUUAAUAUUCCUGUACUUGGUGUUACUGCGAAGGGGGGACGGAGAAGGCUAUGUUAGC